Molecule: ribosomal RNA, 116 nt
Filed under: uncultured eukaryote
Lineage: Eukaryota
Description: partial small subunit ribosomal RNA
Rfam family: Bacterial small subunit ribosomal RNA
Source: RNAcentral
GUGGGUUGCACUAGAAGUCCGUAGGCUAACCGCAAGGAGGCAGCGGCCCAAGGUGUGACUCAUGAUUGGGGUGAAGUCGUAACAAGGUAGCCGUAGGUGAACCUGCAGAAGGAUCA